GCAUGUCACCACCGGGUUUCCCCAGAGAGUUGUUUAUUCAUUGAUGCAACUUAAUUUUCUGAAAUAACAAAGUGAAGAAAGCUUGAAAAGCAUAUUCAGAAUUUCACCUGUGGCAUCAGAGUUGUUCAGUUUGCGGUGGCUCCAGCAGUGACUUUGGUUUCCGUCACAACGUCAGUAAUUUGUCUGAAGACAGAGUAACAAGGAGAUCCUGACAGACAAGGAUUUGUGCUUUAAACUCUUAAAGGCACCGUGCAAUGAAGAGCGGUGAACUACUGUGAGAAGAUUGCUGCUAGAUGUAUCAGUAUGGCUAUGUGCAUCUUUAACUUAGAUGAUGGUUAGGAUAGCUGUCAGUCAAAAGAAAAACACAAAUGGUGUUUACAGAAAACACAGUGCAAGGUAUGAAGGUGCCAGAACAAUUCUGACAAUAAACAAAUAUACUAAACAUA
Long non-coding RNA from Scatophagus argus, 446 nucleotides. RefSeq lists it as uncharacterized. The record is from RefSeq and is a predicted model, not a curated record. The transcript has 2 exons. NCBI's taxonomy places the organism in Eukaryota, Metazoa, Chordata, Actinopteri, Scatophagidae.